AACAUCGAGAUCACAUCCAAAAUCCUCGACGGCCUCGAUCUGGAAUAUAAUCCGGUCGUGUCGACGCUCGUGGCUCGGGUGGAGCCCGUCACGGUUCAGGAGCUCUACAGUCAGCUUCUGAGUUUUGAUG
Molecule: small nucleolar RNA, 130 nt
Filed under: Hordeum vulgare subsp. vulgare (domesticated barley)
Lineage: Eukaryota; Viridiplantae; Streptophyta; Magnoliopsida; Poales; Poaceae
Description: Small nucleolar RNA Z247
Rfam family: Small nucleolar RNA Z247
About the family: Z247 is a member of the C/D class of snoRNA which contain the C (UGAUGA) and D (CUGA) box motifs. Most of the members of the box C/D family function in directing site-specific 2'-O-methylation of substrate RNAs.
Source: Rfam by way of RNAcentral